GGCAUGCUUGAUCUCUUGUGAGUUGUGACCUUAGCUAAGAUUGUACCCAAAUGCAGGAACAUAUCUACAUUGUGCUACAACCUCUUUCUCCUUUUGUCCUUCUUGUUUCCUUCUUUUUCCCUCCUUCCUGGGAUGGAAUACGAGCACAUGAAUUUUUUGGCUAUUACAUUUGUAGAGUGAAGUAAACAGGAUUUUUAUUUAUAUCAAUGGGAUAUACUAUUUCCUCAUUGGUUGUACCAUUUUAUUCUAUUUCUUUUGUAUCCCAAUUUUUAAAAUUUUCAUAUUUAUAUUUGUUUGGUAUCUGCAG
Molecule: unclassified non-coding RNA, 307 nt
Filed under: Hevea brasiliensis (rubber tree)
Lineage: Eukaryota; Viridiplantae; Streptophyta; Magnoliopsida; Malpighiales; Euphorbiaceae
Source: RNAcentral